Ictalurus punctatus (channel catfish) is the source of this 115-nucleotide small nuclear RNA. Its record names the gene U5. It matches the Rfam family "U5 spliceosomal RNA". From Rfam's summary of the family: U5 RNA is a component of both types of known spliceosome. The record is from Ensembl. NCBI's taxonomy places the organism in Eukaryota, Metazoa, Chordata, Actinopteri, Siluriformes, Ictaluridae.
UAGUUCGGGUUUCUCUUCAUUUACGCGUAAAUCUUUUGCCUUUUACUAAAGAUUUCCGUGGAGCGGAACGUUGACGAGUCCAGCUUAUUCUUGUUGGCUUUACUGUGGCAAAGCU